This 207-nucleotide long non-coding RNA is filed under the name Homo sapiens (human). RNAcentral's name for it is "HSALNT0226191". Lineage: Eukaryota; Metazoa; Chordata; Mammalia; Primates; Hominidae. The record is from RNAcentral.
AAGGGGAUGGACUGUGGCGCCGCUGAGUUCCUGGGCAUGGUGAUGUCUGAGGAUCUGAGCAGGUGGAGCCCAGGGGGUGGUGGGGCUGUUUGUCGGGUUUCUGGAAGAGCGAAGGGAAAGUCAGGGAGUGUAAGGCGCAUCUCACAGAAUCGUCGGGCCGCGCUCUCUCCCGUCCUCCCUCCUUCUCCCACUACUGGCGAUGUCUGG